Molecule: ribosomal RNA, 438 nt
Filed under: uncultured bacterium
Lineage: Bacteria
Description: bacterial SSU rRNA
Rfam family: Bacterial small subunit ribosomal RNA
Source: RNAcentral
AGAGUUUGAUCCUGGCUCAGAACGAACGCUGGCGGCGUGCUUAACACAUGCAAGUCGAACGUGAUCCGGAGCUUGCUCCGGUGAAAGUGGCGCACGGGUGAGUAACGCGUGGAUAAUCUGCCCUGGUAUCUGGGAUAACAUCUCGAAAGGGGUGCUAAUACCGGAUAAGCCUACGGACUCUUCGGAGUCUGCAGGAAAAGGUGGCCUCUAUUUAUAAGCUACCGUAUCAGGAUGAGUCCGCGUACCAUUAGCUAGUUGGUGGGGUAAUGGCCCACCAAGGCUACGAUGGUUAGCUGGUCUGAGAGGAUGAUCAGCCACACUGGAACUGAGACACGGUCCAGACUCCUACGGGAGGCAGCAGUGGGGGUUUUUGCGCAAUGGGGGAAACCCUGACGCAGCAACGCCGCGUGAGUGAUGAAGGCCUUCGGGUCGUAAAGC